This 427-nucleotide ribosomal RNA is filed under the name uncultured bacterium. RNAcentral's name for it is "partial 16S ribosomal RNA". It matches the Rfam family "Bacterial small subunit ribosomal RNA", at positions 355 to 774 of the family's 1533-position model. The record is from RNAcentral.
UGGGGAAUAUUGGACAAUGGGCGAAAGCCUGAUCCAGCCAUGCCGCGUGUGUGAAGAAGGUCUUCGGAUUGUAAAGCACUUUAAGUUGGGAGGAAGGGCAUUAACCUAAUACGUUAGUGUUUUGACGUUACCGACAGAAUAAGCACCGGCUAACUCUGUGCCAGCAGCCGCGGUAAUACAGAGGGUGCAAGCGUUAAUCGGACUUAAUGGGCGUAAAGCGCGCGUAGGUGGUUUGUUAAGUUGGAUGUGAAAUCCCCGGGCUCAACCUGGGAACUGCAUUCAAAACUGACUGACUAGAGUAUGGUAGAGGGUGGUGGAAUUUCCUGUGUAGCGGUGAAAUGCGUAGAUAUAGGAAGGAACACCAGUGGCGAAGGCGGCCCCCUGGACAAAGACUGACGCUCAGGUGCGAAAGCGUGGGGAGCAAACA